AGGAAAAGAAACUAACAAGGAUUCCCCUAGUAACGGCGAGUGAAGUGGGAAAAGCUCAACUUUGAAAUCUGGUACUUUCAGUAUCCGAAUUGUAGUCUCAAGAAGUGUUUUCUGUGCUGGUCCAUGUAUGAGUCUGUUGGAACACAGCGUCAUAGAGGGUGACAACCCCGUUCAUGACAUGGAUACCAGUGCUUUGUGAUACACUCUCGAAGAGUCGAGUUGUUUGGGAAUGCAGCUCAAAUUGGGUGGUAAAUUCCAUCUAAAGCUAAAUAUUGGCGAGAGACCGAUAGCAAACAAGUACCGUGAGGGAAAGAUGAAAAGCACUUUGGAAAGAGAGUUAACAGUACGUGAAAUUGUUGAAAGGGAAACGAUUGAAGUCAGACGUGCGUGAUGCGGUUCAGCUCUGGUUCGCCAGAGUGUACUCCGUAUCUUUGCAGGCCAACAUCGGUUUUGUUAGUCGGAUAAAGGUUUGAGAAAUGUGGCAUCUUCGGAUGUGUUAUAGUCUCAGACUGAAUACGAUUGAUGGGACCGAGGAACGCAGCGCGCCGCAAGGCAAAGGUUCCGACCUUUUCGCGCUUAGGAUGUUGGUGAAAUGGCUUUAAACGACCCGUCUUGAA
RNAcentral lists this ribosomal RNA (617 nucleotides) under Cystobasidium pinicola. Its description in RNAcentral is "eukaryotic LSU rRNA". It matches the Rfam family "Eukaryotic large subunit ribosomal RNA", at positions 54 to 658 of the family's 3401-position model. Lineage: Eukaryota; Fungi; Basidiomycota; Cystobasidiomycetes; Cystobasidiales; Cystobasidiaceae. The record is from RNAcentral.